AGAAAGAAUCCUCAUUGCCAAAGCUUCCGGUGGUUCUAGAAUCCUCAGGGUGGUGGUUCUAGAGUGGGCAGCAUGGACAUCGUACCCUUUUUGUUGCGGUGCUUUUAAAAAUUCACCAUGCCUAACACUACCUCUCCGUUUGCUCUACAAUCCUCAGGGUGGAGGUUCUAGAAAUCUCCUACAGUUCUACAGUCCUCGGGGUUGGCGGUGCUAGAAUUCUCAAGACGGUGGUUCUAGAGUUUUCGUGGUGGUGGAUCUAAAAUCCUUGUGGUGGUAAAUCUCGAAUCCUUGACCUCCUGGUUGUAGUUUGUGUAGGCGCCUUCCUACGAUUCCUGUCGCCAAUUACUGCGCUGUGAUUGUCUCCGUUUUCUUUUCUUUUUUUUUUAAAUAUGACAAUCAGCUCGACUCUAUUGUCUAUUUAGCCGCAAGCGUUUUUUUUUAUUCCGUGAUCGAUGGCGUAAGUGUGAGUUUUAAAUUGUCAGGAAGGGCCGCGUUAGCGUCGUCGUUCCUUAGAAGCGGAUAUUGCGGUUUGAAAUGCUCUCGCAUACGAAUGCAAAAACAUGACAUGAAGUAGUGUACGUCUCUGAAGCAAAAUGAAGCAAUAAACUGCUGUUGUUCCCUCUCACAAUAAGUGUGCUGAAACAUUUGUGUUUAAUUUAACGGCGAGGGGAGAAAGAGAACAACAGCUUGACGAAUGAGCCUGAGAGCGCUGUCAUUGCUCAACAAAAGACUCGUCCUCGCGAUGGCCUCAUUUUUCUAAUAACUUCCAGUCGCUCAUAAAGAGAGACGAGAGAGAAAACAGCAGGGGAUGGGAACAAUCCAUGACGAGCUUUAAAACGUGCCCUGGUGAGCUACAGGAAAGUUGUUUGGAGCCAAUGGCCACAAGGAUGGAAAAGUCUUCCAUGUUAUGAUAACGCUGUGGAGGAUGAAGCGAUGGCACGGCCCCCACAGAGCCCCGAUCUCGACAUCGUCGAGUGUGUCUGGGAUUACACGAAGAGACAGAAAGCCGACAUCCACAGAAGAUCUGUGGUUAUUUCUCCAAGACGUUUGGAACGACCUACCGGCCGAGUUCCUUCACAAAUCGUGUGCGAGUGUAGCUAGUAGCUAACUGCUGCUGUUCUGAAGGCAAACGCUGGUCACACCAAAUAUCGAUGUGAUUUAGAUUUCUCUUUUGUUCAUUCACUGCAUUUUGUACAUUUAUAAAAAUAAAUGUUUAACACUUCCAUUUUUGAAA
Molecule: long non-coding RNA, 1234 nt
Organism: Tachysurus fulvidraco (yellow catfish)
Lineage: Eukaryota; Metazoa; Chordata; Actinopteri; Siluriformes; Bagridae
Exons: 2
Source: RefSeq, a predicted model, not a curated record